GACAGAGGGUGCAAACGUUGUUCGGAAUUACUGGGCGUAAAGCGCGUGUAGGUUGCUCUGUGUGUCGGAUGUGAAAGCCCCGGGCUCAACCUGGGAAGUGCACUCGAAACUACAGAGCUGGAGUCUCGGAGAGGAUCGCGGAAUUCUCGGUGUAGAGGUGAAAUUCGUAGAUAUCGAGAGGAACACCGGUGGCGAAGGCGGCGAUCUGGACGAUGACUGACGCUGAGACGCGAAAGCGUGGGGAGCAAACAGG
This 253-nucleotide ribosomal RNA is filed under the name uncultured bacterium. RNAcentral describes it as "partial 16S ribosomal RNA". It matches the Rfam family "Bacterial small subunit ribosomal RNA", at positions 524 to 776 of the family's 1533-position model. The record is from RNAcentral.